UACCCAGGAAGAUGAAUCUCUGCCUUCUG
Molecule: non-coding RNA, 29 nt
Filed under: Mus musculus (house mouse)
Lineage: Eukaryota; Metazoa; Chordata; Mammalia; Rodentia; Muridae
Source: RNAcentral